Schistosoma mansoni is the source of this 45-nucleotide non-coding RNA. The record is from Rfam. Lineage: Eukaryota; Metazoa; Platyhelminthes; Trematoda; Strigeidida; Schistosomatidae.
AUUUAGAUAACUAGUCCCAAAUAGGACGAAACGCGCGUCCUGGAU